CAUAUGCUUGUCUCAAAGAUUAAGCCAUGCAUGUCUCAGUACAAGCCACAUUAAGGUGAAACCGCGAAAGGCUCAUUAAAUCAGUUAUGGUUCCUUAGAUCGUACCCACAUUUACUUGGAUAACUGUGGUAAUUCUAGAGCUAAUACAUGCAAACAGAGUUCCGACCGGAGACGGGAGGAAUGCUUUUAUUAGAUCAAAACCAAUCGGCGGCGGGCCUCGGUCCGUUCGCCGCUCAAUUUGGUGACUCUGAAUAACUUUCGGCUGAUCGCACGGUCUCGCACCGGCGACGCAUCUUUCAAAUGUCUGCCUUAUCAACUGUCGAUGGUAGGUUCUGCGCCUACCAUGGUCGUAACGGGUAACGGGGAAUCAGGGUUCGAUUCCGGAGAGGGAGCCUGAGAAACGGCUACCACAUCCAAGGAAGGCAGCAGGCGCGCAAAUUACCCACUCCCGGCACGGGGAGGUAGUGACGAAAAAUAACGAUACGGGACUCAUCCGAGGCCCCGUAAUCGGAAUGAGUACACUUUAAAUCCUUUAACGAGGAUCAAUUGGAGGGCAAGUCUGGUGCCAGCAGCCGCGGUAAUUCCAGCUCCAAU
Molecule: ribosomal RNA, 594 nt
Filed under: Rhantus suturalis
Lineage: Eukaryota; Metazoa; Arthropoda; Insecta; Coleoptera; Dytiscidae
Also listed under: 5 other names
Description: SSU rRNA
Rfam family: Eukaryotic small subunit ribosomal RNA
Source: RNAcentral